AUACGUAGGGUGCAAGCGUUGUGCGGAAUCACUGGGCGUAAAGGGCGUGUAGGCGGAGUAGUAAGCUAGAGGUGAAAGCCCGGGGCUCAACCCCGGAGGGUCUUCUAGAACUGCCACUCUUGAGAGGGUUAGAGGUUAGCGGAAUUCCUGGUGUAGCGGUGAAAUGCGUAGAUAUCAGGAGGAACACCGGAGGCGAAAGCGGCUAACUGGGACCAAUCUGACGCUGAGGCGCGAAAGCAUGGGGAGCAAACGGGAUUAGAAACCCCAGUAGUCC
Molecule: ribosomal RNA, 274 nt
Filed under: uncultured bacterium
Lineage: Bacteria
Description: partial 16S ribosomal RNA
Rfam family: Bacterial small subunit ribosomal RNA
Source: RNAcentral